ACCUGAAAUACCAAAAUUACAUGAUCGCAUCAAAUAUUUCAGAAAAUGUUUAGAAUUUCAAAAAUGAACCCAAAAAUACAUAUACUGGUGAACAACAUUAUAAGCUCAAAAAAAAAUCCCUUUUCCAUGUAUUUAUAACAAUAAGAAACACAAACAAAAUGCCAUAUAUCAAGCAAACAGUCAUAGCUAAAGUUCAACAAGAGCGAGGAUUAAAUUCAAAAGACAACACCUUUCUUUUGUUUUUGGCUUUAAUACAAGGGAAACACAAUUGGGUCUCAGUUCUUACACUUAACCAUUAAAAUUGCAUAUGAAGUCAAGACCUUUGGCUUUGGAUUUGUAAAUCCAAUGCAAUCUCGUCUCUAGAAACCCACACUGAGAAACAAUUAAAGUCCAUCCAUUGUACAUGAUGACUGGCCAAAUUUAACUCUUAUGCAUGUGGACAAUUGUCUAAAUUAAACUCCUAGCUACUUGUUACUAUGUUUUUGGCUAUGGAUUCUCAGGGUGAGUCUCGGAAGGACACUACUUCUGGUUCAUCAAAGAAAAUGCAAAAAACAGAUGGGAUUUUCUGGUAUACCAAGCAGACAGCAAAAAUUCAAUCCAGGUUUCACGUAAUUACUUGAAUACAAUAAAUUAUGUAUUGAAAUCUAUACAUCAGCAUUGAUGCUUGAGUUCUUAUUCUUUACAUACUGAAUUUUACCUGAACAUGAAGACUUCUGCAACAGGAACAGAAUUAAGGUUAGGUAUUGUGAUGGAUCAUCAUUCACGGGCAAUGUGGAGGACUUGUGACAUGGUUUUUAACCCUGGAUUGGGAAGGUUUAAUCCAAUCAGUCCUGGUUAUAUAUAAUCUUUUAAUAAUUCAUCUAGGGAUCAGCAAAGAAAACUUUCCAACGCCAAUAUCUAAAUCUUUUUCUUUUUCUUUUUCUUUUCCUCAGCUGGUCUGAUCGUGUAAGGAAAGAGGCAUAAAAGGUGAGG
Long non-coding RNA from Populus euphratica (Euphrates poplar), 972 nucleotides. RefSeq lists it as uncharacterized. The record is from RefSeq and is a predicted model, not a curated record. Lineage: Eukaryota; Viridiplantae; Streptophyta; Magnoliopsida; Malpighiales; Salicaceae. The transcript has 2 exons.